Molecule: ribosomal RNA, 847 nt
Filed under: Pseudoophiosphaerella huishuiensis
Lineage: Eukaryota; Fungi; Ascomycota; Dothideomycetes; Pleosporales; Phaeosphaeriaceae
Description: Dothideomycetes sp. JZ-2019c partial large subunit ribosomal RNA
Rfam family: Eukaryotic large subunit ribosomal RNA
Source: RNAcentral
AUUGCCCUAGUAACGGCGAGUGAAGCGGCAACAGCUCAAAUUUGAAAUCUGGCUCUUUUAGAGUCCGAGUUGUAAUUUGCAGAGGGCGCUUUGGCGUUGGCAGCGGUCCAAGUUCUUUGGAACAGGACGUCACAGAGGGUGAGAAUCCCGUACGUGGUCGCUAUCCUUCGCCGUGUAAAGCCCCUUCGACGAGUCGAGUUGUUUGGGAAUGCAGCUCUAAAUGGGAGGUAAAUUUCUUCUAAAGCUAAAUACUGGCCAGAGACCGAUAGCGCACAAGUAGAGUGAUCGAAAGAUGAAAAGCACUUUGGAAAGAGAGUCAAAUAGCACGUGAAAUUGUUGAAAGGGAAGCGCUUGCAGCCAGACUUGCCUGUAGUUGCUUAUCCGGACUUUUGUCCGGUGCACUCUUCUGCGGGCAGGCCAGCAUCAGUUUGGGCGGUUAGAUAAAGGUCUCUGUCAUGUACCUCUCUUCGGGGAGGCCUUAUAGGGGAGACGACAUGUAACCAGCCUGGACUGAGGUCCGCGCAUCUGCUAGGAUGCUGGCGUAAUGGCUGUAAGCGGCCCGUCUUGAAACACGGACCAAGGAGUCUAACAUCUAUGCGAGUGUUUGGGUGUCAAGCCCAGACGCGUAAUGAAAGUGAACGGAGGUAGGAACCCUUUGGGUGCACUAUCGACCGAUCCUGAUGUCUUCGGAAGGAUUUGAGUAAGAGCAUGGCUGUUGGGACCCGAAAGAUGGUGAACUAUGCUUGAAUAGGGUGAAGCCAGAGGAAACUCUGGUGGAGGCUCGCAGCGGUUCUGACGUGCAAAUCGAUCGUCAAAUUUGGGCAUAGGGGCGAAAGACUAAUCGAAC